This 861-nucleotide ribosomal RNA is filed under the name Nectria dematiosa. Its description in RNAcentral is "partial large subunit ribosomal RNA". It matches the Rfam family "Eukaryotic large subunit ribosomal RNA", at positions 48 to 941 of the family's 3401-position model. The record is from RNAcentral. Lineage: Eukaryota; Fungi; Ascomycota; Sordariomycetes; Hypocreales; Nectriaceae.
AAGCGGAGGAAAAGAAACCAACAGGGAUUGCCCUAGUAACGGCGAGUGAAGCGGCAACAGCUCAAAUUUGAAAUCUGGCCCCCGGGUCCGAGUUGUAAUUUGUAGAGGAUGCUUUUGGUGCGGUACCUUCCGAGUUCCCUGGAACGGGACGCCAUAGAGGGUGAGAGCCCCGUCUGGUUGGACGCCAAUCCUUUGUAAAGCUCCUUCGACGAGUCGAGUAGUUUGGGAAUGCUGCUCUAAAUGGGAGGUAUAUGUCUUCUAAAGCUAAAUAUUGGCCAGAGACCGAUAGCGCACAAGUAGAGUGAUCGAAAGAUGAAAAGCACUUUGAAAAGAGAGUUAAAAAGUACGUGAAAUUGUUGAAAGGGAAGCGCUCAUGACCAGACUUGGGCCCGGUUGAUCAUCCAGGGUUCUCCCUGGUGCACUCUUCCGGCCCAGGCCAGCAUCAGUUCGCUGUGGGGGAUAAAGGCUUCGGGAAUGUGGCUCCUCCGGGAGUGUUAUAGCCCGCUGCGUAAUACCCUGUGGCGGACUGAGGUUCGCGCAUCUGCAAGGAUGCUGGCGUAAUGGUCAUCAGCGACCCGUCUUGAAACACGGACCAAGGAGUCGUCUUCGUAUGCGAGUGUUCGGGUGUUAAACCCCUACGCGGAAUGAAAGUGAACGCAGGUGAGAGCUUCGGCGCAUCAUCGACCGAUCCUGAUGUUCUCGGAUGGAUUUGAGUAAGAGCAUACGGGGCCGGACCCGAAAGAAGGUGAACUAUGCCUGUAUAGGGUGAAGCCAGAGGAAACUCUGGUGGAGGCUCGCAGCGGUUCUGACGUGCAAAUCGAUCGUCAAAUAUGGGCAUGGGGGCGAAAGACUAAUCGAACC